AAGUCGUAACAAGGUUUCCGUAGGUGAACCUGCGGAAGGAUCAUUAACACGUAUCCAAACGUUAAACCCCCCUGUGAACCUUCAGUCGUACUCGUACGUCCGUUAGAAAAAGCAGCAAUCCCUGGUAAAUCAUCGCCGAACAGUUUUCGAUUCAGGGACGUCUGCAAGGAGCGUGCAUGUUGUGCGUGUAAGUGGCCUGGCAUCCCCAAGCAGUUAGUGUCUGAAAGUGUCGACCGGGUCGACAAUGGAUAUCUUGGUUCUC
RNAcentral lists this unclassified non-coding RNA (262 nucleotides) under fungal sp. RNAcentral's name for it is "partial internal transcribed spacer region". The stretch from base 1 to 46 matches the Rfam family "Eukaryotic small subunit ribosomal RNA", at positions 1786 to 1831 of the family's 1831-position model. The record is from RNAcentral. Lineage: Eukaryota; Fungi.